CGUGUAGGCGGCUCUGCAAGUCGGGUGUGAAAGCCCUGGGCUCAACCCAGGAAGUGCACUCGAAACUGCAGGGCUGGAGUCCCGGAGAGGAAGGCGGAAUUCUCGGUGUAGAGGUGAAAUUCGUAGAUAUCGAGAGGAACACCGGUGGCGAAGGCGGCCUUCUGGACGGCGACUGACGCUGAGACGCGAAAGCGUGGGGAGCAAACA
RNAcentral lists this ribosomal RNA (207 nucleotides) under uncultured delta proteobacterium. RNAcentral describes it as "partial 16S ribosomal RNA". It matches the Rfam family "Bacterial small subunit ribosomal RNA", at positions 568 to 774 of the family's 1533-position model. Lineage: Bacteria; Deltaproteobacteria. The record is from RNAcentral.